UCCGUAGGUGAACCUGCGGAAGGAUCAUUAUCGAGUCUGCGCGGUUGCUGCUGGUUCUUACAAGUGCACGCCGUGUCUUUCUUAUCCACCCCACUGUGCAUCUCGGCGUGCUCCGUCUCUGGCGGGCGCGGUCCAUUUUACACCGCAUCUUUUGUAACGAAGCGAAUGAAAUCUUAUAAUAAUGUACAACUAUCAACAACGGAUCUCUUGGCAUCCCACUCGAUGAAGAACGCAGCGAAUUGCGAUAAGUAAUGUGAAUUGCAGAAUUCAGUGAAUCAUCGAAUCUUUGAACGCACCUUGCGCCCUCUGGUAUUCCGGAGAGCAUGCCCGGUUGAGUAUUAUGAUCAUCUCAAACCUUGCGCUUCUGAUUGCAAAGGUCCUGCGUCCGGCGAAGCUGUCUAUCGAGGCGGUGGUAGCUGGACUUGGGCUUGGAAGCGUGUUGGUCUUGGACUUGAGCGUGCUGUCGGUCCUCUUUGGAUCGACUCGCUUGAAAUGUAUUAGCUGGCGACCCGCCUUACGGUUCCACUCGGCGUAGUAAGUCUUAUUCGUCGAGGACAUUUCUUAGGAGAUGGCCGAUGGGUUCGGUGUGAUGCCGCUUCCAGUCGUCUUUGGACAACUUUGAACCUUUAAUCUCAACUCGGGUAGGACUACCCGCUGAACUUAAGCAUAUCAAUAAGCGGAGGA
RNAcentral lists this ribosomal RNA (684 nucleotides) under uncultured Tulasnellaceae. RNAcentral describes it as "eukaryotic LSU rRNA". The stretch from base 188 to 341 matches the Rfam family "5.8S ribosomal RNA". The record is from RNAcentral. Lineage: Eukaryota; Fungi; Basidiomycota; Agaricomycetes; Cantharellales; Tulasnellaceae.